This 1372-nucleotide long non-coding RNA is filed under the name Pogona vitticeps (central bearded dragon). RNAcentral's name for it is "lncRNA (ENSPVIG00000003178.1)". Lineage: Eukaryota; Metazoa; Chordata; Lepidosauria; Squamata; Agamidae. The record is from RNAcentral.
GUUGCUAAGAAAACAGGUUCCGGGUCCCACCCUGUGUGAGUUCACUAAUGAGCAGUUCAUGUAAAUGAAGAUCCCGUUCAUUGAAAUGUGAGUUCUUUGAUGCUCCUGUCACUGAAACUAUUCCAGAUUCAAAGUCGCUUAUGUUUCUUGCCUGGAUCUUCUCACUCAAAUGAAGUUAGAUGAUUUCCAGUGUCAGUUCUUAAAUAUGAACUCAGGUGACAGUUCUGACUGAGGCGUUUGAGGCAGUCCCUCACCAAAGGCUGCUGAGAGAACUCCACGAUCACAGGAUAAGAGGGUAGGUCCUCUUGUGGCUUGAGAAGGCGUUGAGAACCAGGAAAGAGAGAGUAGGUGUCAGUGGGCCAUUUCCACACUGGGCGUGAGAGGGGAAGAGCGGUGUGCCCCAGGGCUCUGUCCUGGGACCGGCUGGUGCUUCUCAACCUGUUCCUCAAUGAACUGGAGAACAGGGAUAAGGAGCAAGGUGUCCAAGUGUGCAGGUGACAUGAAACUUUCCUGGAUGGUGAAGACCAGAAGGGAUGGUGAAGGCCAGUGUCCUGCUAGGUGAACUGGGCAGCUGUUCUCAAAAGAAGGCUUGCUGCUACUCAGGCUGCUGCUUCCAAGCACAGAAACCCUAGCGAGGAAAGCAGCUGGCAGCCCAGCCUACGUAACCACCACGGAUCCCUGGGAAAGCUUCGGACUAGUUUUCACUCAAAAAGGAGUGGUUGCUCUGCUGGAUUCCAGAGCCUGGUCUGUUGACGUGGUUGCUGCAGCAACGUAGUUCCGAGCCAGUCCAGGGCUACUGGUCGUUUGUGGUGCAGACCGGAUCGCUGUCAGAGGCGCCUUCAAGGGUCUCCUGAUAAUGGCUCUGGGUUGGGCAAGACUUUUGCUUCCACUGAGUUCUCCAGCAUCAGCAAGCACAUCGUGGCUCUUGGGAAGAACGUCUAGGGUGUUCAGAGAGAGGGACCAGAAAGAAUUUGUGAUCCAGAGAGAAAGGCAGACUGGCCAGAUGAAGGCUCUCCAGGAGUGGGAAAGGUCUCUUCUGGGAACCUGGGCGUUGUCUGAAGGUGUCAGCAUACUGCCAAGGUAAGGGACUCUCCACGUCAAAAUGGAUCAGGGUCAAUUUGUAAAGCCAAGGGAACGAAUGGCCAGAGAGGGUCAAGUCCCAGUAGAAGCCGCCCGUGUUUCGUUGCAAGGCACAGUUCUCCCUCAUGGGAGAAUGGGAGAAAGCCGAAUAUUUCUGGAGAUUUGGGCAGUGGUUCAACAGGGUGUUUUCCUUACCAAUUUAUCCACAUCUUCUUUCUUUACUAUUUUGGUCAUAAAUUUUGGGUUUUGAUAAUUUAUUUUAAGACGUGGCACCAGUCCAAAUUCUUCUAUA